CAGGUAGUCAAGAUGAGAAUUCUAAGGUGAGCGAGCGAACUCUCGUUAAGGAACUCGGCAAAAUGACCCCGUAACUUCGGGAGAAGGGGUGCUCUUUAGGGUUAACGCCCAGAAGAGCCGCAGUGAAUAGGCCCAAGCGACUGUUUAUCAAAAACACAGGUCUCUGCUAAACCGUAAGGUGAUGUAUAGGGGCUGACGCCUGCCCGGUGCUGGAAGGUUAAGAGGAGUGGUUAGCUUCUGCGAAGCUACGAAUCGAAGCCCCAGUAAAC
This 269-nucleotide ribosomal RNA is filed under the name Staphylococcus aureus. RNAcentral describes it as "partial 23S ribosomal RNA". It matches the Rfam family "Bacterial large subunit ribosomal RNA", at positions 1660 to 1928 of the family's 2925-position model. Lineage: Bacteria; Bacillati; Bacillota; Bacilli; Caryophanales; Staphylococcaceae. The record is from RNAcentral.